GAGUUUGAUCCUGGCUCAGGAUGAACGCUGGCGGCAUGCCUAACACAUGCAAGUCGAACGGGGUUUAUAUAACAGAACUCUUCGGAGGGAAGAUAUAUAAACCUAGUGGCGGACGGGUGAGUAACGCGUGGGCAACCUGCCCUGUACCGGGGACAACAGCCAGAAAUGGCUGCUAAUACCGCAUAAGCCUGCGGUGCCGCAUGGCACAGCAGGGAAAACCACGGUGGUACAGGAUGGGCCCGCGUCUGAUUAGUUAGUUGGCAGGGUAACGGCCUACCAAGACGAUGAUCAGUAGCCGGCUUGAGAGAGUGGACGGCCACAUUGGGACUGAGACACGGCCCAGACUCCUGCGGGAGGCGGCAGUGGGGAAGUAUUGCACAAAUGGGGGGAACCCGUGAUGCAGCAAUGCCGCGUGGGUGAAGAAGCACUCCGGUGCGUAAAGCCCUGUCAGCAGGGAAGAAAAUGACAGUACCUGACCAAGAAGCCCCGGCUAACUACGUG
RNAcentral lists this ribosomal RNA (501 nucleotides) under uncultured microorganism. Its description in RNAcentral is "bacterial SSU rRNA". It matches the Rfam family "Bacterial small subunit ribosomal RNA", at positions 9 to 507 of the family's 1533-position model. The record is from RNAcentral.